Molecule: non-coding RNA, 97 nt
Organism: Acanthosepion pharaonis
Lineage: Eukaryota; Metazoa; Mollusca; Cephalopoda; Sepiida; Sepiidae
Source: the annotation of a GenBank genome assembly
UUGAAACGCCUGUUCCCGUACGAUCACGUAGUUAAGCAACGUUGAGACUGAUUAGUACUUAGAUGGGUGACCACUUGGGAAUAUUAGGUGCUGUAAU